UACGUAGGGUGCAGGCGUUAAUCGGAAUUACUGGGCGUAAAGCGUGCGCAGGCGGUUUCUUAAGUCAGAUGUGAAAGCCCCGGGCUUAACCUGGGAACUGCGUUUGAAACUGGGAGACUUGAGUGUGGCAGAGGGGGGUGGAAUUCCACGUGUAGCAGUGAAAUGCGUAGAUAUGUGGAGGAACACCGAUGGCGAAGGCAGCCUUCUGGGCCAACACUGACGCUCAUGCACGAAAGCGUGGGGAGCAAACAGG
Molecule: ribosomal RNA, 253 nt
Filed under: uncultured bacterium
Lineage: Bacteria
Description: partial 16S ribosomal RNA
Rfam family: Bacterial small subunit ribosomal RNA
Source: RNAcentral